This 295-nucleotide ribosomal RNA is filed under the name uncultured Glomeromycotina. RNAcentral's name for it is "partial 28S ribosomal RNA". The record is from RNAcentral. Lineage: Eukaryota; Fungi; Glomeromycota.
UCUCACUCGCGGGUAGCGUGAGUAAUUUAUUGCUUACGUUUUCCGUGUACUUUGUUGUCUGCUGGUUAGCAUCAAUUUUGAUUGUCAUAAAAAGGUUAAGGGGAUGUGGCUCCUUCGGGAGUGUUAUAACCCUUAGCGGAAUGUGGCGAUUGGGAUUGAGGAUUGCAACGAAUACCUUUAGGGCAGUUCCGUCUGGUCUCUUGUUGAUUUUCAGAUAGCAAAAGCUUGCUUUUGUUGUUUGAAUAGUUAGCAAAUAGAUUGGAAAGUGAAUUAAUUCGUUAAGGAUGCUGACGUA